AACUCCUGCGGAUAGAUUUGCAUCCCCCUGGAACAUUGCUGAUCUUUUGGCAGAUGGAAAAUAGAGUGUGGUGAUCACCCUGAAAUUACUGCUGGGGAGUGAAGUACCUAACUUGUGCCUGCAUCUUAUUGGCCAGAGUCCAAUAUCAAUGAGAUGGGGAAGUUUAAUUCUCCCUUCGGAAGAACGGCAGGACCCUGAAUCUGUUUCCUAGGUCAGAGCCCCUGCAUGACAGUUGGUGUAGUUGGCAGGAAGUUCGACAGGAUGUUUGGCAGGUGAGAGAUUCCUCAACCUGGAUGAACAGGAGGGAACUCUGGCCCCCAAGCAGCAUGUAUCACUCGGU
Molecule: long non-coding RNA, 340 nt
Filed under: Ictidomys tridecemlineatus (thirteen-lined ground squirrel)
Lineage: Eukaryota; Metazoa; Chordata; Mammalia; Rodentia; Sciuridae
Description: lncRNA (ENSSTOG00000031424.1)
Source: RNAcentral